UACGGGAGGCAGCAGUGGGGAAUAUUGCACAAUGGGCGCAAGCCUGAUGCAGCCAUGCCGCGUGUAUGAAGAAGGCCUUCGGGUUGUAAAGUACUUUCAGUCGUGAGGAAGGUGUUAAGGUUAAUAACCUUAGCAAUUGACGUUAGCGACAGAAGAAGCACCGGCUAACUCCGUGCCAGCAGCCGCGGUAAUACGGAGGGUGCGAGCGUUAAUCGGAAUUACUGGGCGUAAAGGGCACGCAGGCGGUUAAUUAAGUUGGAUGUGAAAUCCCCGGGCUUAACCUGGGAAUGGCAUUCAAGACUGGUUAGCUAGAGUCUUGUAGAGGGGGUAGAAUUCCAUGUGUAGCGGUGAAAUGCGUAGAGAUGUGGAGGAAUACCGGUGGCGAAGGCGGCCCCUGGCAAAGGACUGACGCUCAUGUGCGAAAGCGUGGGGAGCAAA
This 438-nucleotide ribosomal RNA is filed under the name uncultured bacterium. RNAcentral's name for it is "bacterial SSU rRNA". It matches the Rfam family "Bacterial small subunit ribosomal RNA", at positions 340 to 772 of the family's 1533-position model. The record is from RNAcentral.